Molecule: ribosomal RNA, 500 nt
Filed under: uncultured cyanobacterium
Lineage: Bacteria; Bacillati; Cyanobacteriota
Description: bacterial SSU rRNA
Rfam family: Bacterial small subunit ribosomal RNA
Source: RNAcentral
GGGUAAUUUUCCGCAAUGGGCGCAAGCCUGACGGAGCAAUACCGCGUGAGGGAGGAAGGCUCUUGGGUCGUAAACCUCUUUUCUCAGGGAAGAAUACAAUGACGGUACCUGAGGAAUCAGCAUCGGCUAACUCCGUGCCAGCAGCCGCGGUAAUACGGAGGAUGCAAGCGUUAUCCGGAAUGAUUGGGCGUAAAGCGUCCGUAGGUGGUUAUGUAAGUCUGUGGUUAAAGCGUGGGGCUCAACCCCAUAAGGGCCAUGGAAACUACACAACUAGAGUCAAGUAGGGGUAGAGGGAAUUCCCAGUGUAGCGGUGAAAUGCGUAGAGAUUGGGAAGAACACCGGUGGCGAAAGCGCUCUACUGGACUUAAACUGACACUGAGGGACGAAAGCUAGGGGAGCGAAAGGGAUUAGAUACCCCUGUAGUCCUAGCCGUAAACGAUGGAUACUAGGCGUUGCCCGUAUCGACCCGGGCAGUGUCGUAGCCAACGCGUUAAGUAUCC